GAUGAACGCUGGCGGCGUGCCUAAUACAUGCAAGUCGAGCGAACAGACGAGGCUCUUGCUCCUCUGACGUUAGCGGCGGACGGGUGAGUAACACGUGGAUACCCUCCCUAUCAUACUGGGAUAACUUCGGGAAACCGGAGCUAAUACCGGAUAAUCUCUUGCACCGCAUGGUUCAUUAGUGAAAUUCGGUUUUGCUGUCACUUAUCGCUGCUUCCGGGCCGCAUUAGCUAGUUGGUACGGUAACGGCCUACCAAGGCAACCAUGCGUAGCCGACCUGAGAGGGGGAUCGGCCACACGGGAACUGAAACACGGUCAAGACGCCUACGAGAGGCAGCAGAAGGGAAUCUUACGCAAUGGGCGAAAGCAUGACGGAGCAACGCCGCGUGAGUGAUGAAGGUCUUCGGAGCGUAAAAAUCUGUUAUGAGGGAAGAACAAAUGUGUAAGUAAAUAUGCACGUCUUGACGGUACCGAAUCAGAAAGCAACGGCUAACUACGUG
Molecule: ribosomal RNA, 497 nt
Filed under: uncultured bacterium
Lineage: Bacteria
Description: partial 16S ribosomal RNA
Rfam family: Bacterial small subunit ribosomal RNA
Source: RNAcentral